UUUUUAUUGAGACCAAUUUGGCCUGGGGAGAACCGCCUUCAGGCGUUUGGACUCAGUGGAGGUUGUGAGUGCCCAGCAGUGUGGCCUGAAUCUCCGUGGGGUUUAGGGAGACGAAAGGACCCCAGAUCGACGUCCCCUCGUUCCCACUUUGGGGAUCGGCGCUCUGGCUGUUUCGUGAAGGAGAGAGAGAUUGAUACUGGAAAAGCAGUUUCUAUUGAGCCCCCAAAUGAAGAGUGAGUGCAGAUGAAGAGGAGGCAGGACUCACAAGCCCUUGAACUUUAUUCCAGAUCUGUUAGCACCUACAGGACCCUGCACCAGGAUUUCAUCUGUACUAUCAGCUUCUUCAAAGAGAGAGAGGUUGUUGACUCUUCAUGUGGAUGUCUGAGCUCAUAUCAGGUGUCUGAAAGAGGCAGAUUCUGAGGAUUUGGGUCAUGAUGGCUGCCAAAGCUUCUACUCCUGACUUAAAGGGCAACAAUCCUAGGAGACCACCAGCACUUACAUCCCUGGUAGGACAUGACACCUGCUUAUGGCUCAGAAGUGACAAAAGAGAAUUAUCAGGAUGGCAGUCCUUAUAACCAGAUGCUUAUCAACAUUCUUCACUACAUUCUGAAGAUGAAUUUCUACAAGGGAAAUUGUUUAUAUUUGUUGUUGGGGAUAGAUAAGGAAAGAAGAAAAAGGCUCUGGUGAGAAACCCAUUGUACCUUCUGGAUAUGAUCACUACCCAAUUUUAUCAGUGUCAUUGAUCACUAACCCAGUGCCUCGUAUGGUGCCAGGCACAGAGUUACUCCAAGAAUGUACAAUAAUGGCUGGAUUCUCUUUCUCCCUGUGCAACUCUUCAUGCAUGUGACUGAACUUAUAUUAAGUGUCUGAAGGAGGUUCGUUCUGAGGAUCUGGGACAUGAUGGGUGCUGAAGCUUCUACUCAAGAUUUGAAGGGCAGCUGUCCUCAGGAGACCCCUGGCACUUCCCUCCAUGGUGGGAUGUGAUGCCUGAUUCCAGUGAGUUCAUAGAGCUGAACAAAAGUACGUUGUGGAAUAGCUCCUGUGAGGUUCACAACAUAGUCCGGAAGAUGAGAAACUACUUUUUUUAGUAACCUGGAUUCCCAUCUAAGAGAUGCCUUACUUUAUCGUAAAGCAAUGAGUUGUUCACUUGAGGAGGGAACUUCAUGUUUAACAUGUAUUUGCAACAAAUUUACAUACAUUUUCUGCCUGUAUGAAUAGUUGUCAGUGAUGCCCAUGAAUUUCUCAGAUGGAUGUUGAAGUAUACAGUUAGAAGGUUAGAAGAUCUUCCUAGCAAUCUGUGAUUACGGGAGGCAGCAGAUGGCUGAAAUUCUGAUCCGAUGUGGCUGGUUAAUGCAUGAUCUGAAAACCCCUGCACUGGUGAUUUUGGGACAGAUCUAGAAUAUACCAAUAAAUAUAUUAACAUACCAAGUAGUCUAGGAGCAGCCACUGGGCGAACACCAAACCUUGCAUCCCUGCUGCUGUCUCUGAGCUCAGCAGACACGUCUUUGCAGAAGAGUUCUAUAAUGGUGGUACAAUGGUGCCCCCUCGUGACAGAAGCUUGAACUACAGCUUGAACAUCGAGAUGAAAAUAUACUGUCUACGUUGUUCAACACAAUAGCUAAUGGCAACUGUGGCAGUUGAACACCCGAAACGUGAUGAAUGUGACUGAGGAACUGAACUUUUAGUUUCAUUGUGACAUGAUGAAUGAAUUUAUUGAGCCCCAGGAAGAAGGAAAAUUAAAGAAGAGCAAAGAAUAAUAGCUGGACAGAAGAUGGGGGUCAUUGAACCUAUAUCCUAGUUGCCAGACCAGUAAACUGACCAUGGGACCUGGGGGAGGCAGCAGAUGACCGAAAACCUGGAGUGAUGUGGCUGAAUACCGCAUGAUCUGAAGACUGCACUGGUGGCUGCGCCUUUUCAGCCUGGUUAGGAAACAUUGCUGGGGAACUAGUGCAGUGAUUUGGAGAACUGUCCUGUGGGGUAAAUGAGAAAUCCUAUACAGAGAAGAUGGCACCUAGAGAAAUCCUAUACAGAGAAGAUGGCACCUAGUCUUCAACAAAUAUUCAUCCUGGCCCACUUUUCUUCUCCUUCCCAGAGAAGUGAUGACUGUCAUCUAAACCAAACAGCAUAACUACCACAGAGACCAGCUGGUAAUGGAGCAGGAAGAAGUAGCAUAUACUUACAUUUAGUUUAUAAAUGAAGCUUUGGGGCUAUUUCUGUGAUGCAGGAUGGCUUUGCCAAGGAAUGUGGGAAGAGGGAAAAGAUCAUCAAACCAUUUCUUUAAUUCUGUGUCAUUUUUGCCCCAUUAUUUGAGCUUCUAUACUGAUAUUGGAAAAAUAGUUUCCUAUGGAGUGUCAAAUAAAGAAAGAGUGCAGAUAAAGAGGAGAGAGAAGUCACAUGCCCUUGACCCUCAUACCAUUACCACCUACAGGACUCUGAACCAGAAUUUCAUCUGCACCAGUGGGUAAUUCAAAGUGGGAGGAGUUGUUGAAUGUGUAUCCAUGAAGGCACAAUACUACAAACGUGUAAAACUACUAGGUUUUAAAUCCUAGAAUGUCAUGGUGUAUAAAAUAUUGAUAAUUAUUGCUUUGGUUUUGAAUUAGGGGAAAAUAUAUCCUCGUAUACUUGGAAGUGGCUCCCUCAGUAUCUUUUAUUCUUGAGCUUCAGGGAUAUUCUUCAUUCUAAAUGUGUAUCUCUUUCCUGUGGGUGGGGUAAGGAAUGCUUGAAUGUUCCUGACAAUGUUUUUGUAUAAUUGCAGGAGCAUUUGAUAUUUAUUACAGUUAUAAAUACAUAAGAAAUGAAAUAAACAGCAUUACUCUAAAACAAAAGAGAAUACCUGCUCUCAAAAUAUCUUGAGUAUUUCAAAGAGAAUACCUGCUAAUGCUUAUAUCUGUAUAAUAUUCUUUCACAAAUUUUCUUAUGCAGGUACUUAUAAAUUUAUGCAGAAAUGAAUACAUUUAUAUACUUAUCUACAAAAUAUAAGAUCUCAUUCUACAUUUAGUUUUAUAACCUGCUUGUCUCACUAAAACCAUACCUCAAAGGUCAUUGGUUGUGAGUAAAUAUGAGUCUUUACCACAGAGAUAGUAAAUACUAAUGGCCAAUAAAGACAGAGAAACAAAUAUGGCUACAAUAUGUUAUGUGCCAAGUGCUUUUUAGCUACUGAGUCGUUCAAUUCUCACGGCACCCUUACAAGGUUGAAACUGUUGCUGAUCUCCAUUUUGUAGAUGGAAAACUAAGGAGCAGAUAGAAUAAAAAUUUUACCUGAGACUGCACAGUUAGGGAGUGCGACAGCUUGGAUUUAUGUUCAGUACAUCAUGCUCCAGAGCCUGGGAAACUGUCAAGGCUCUGUUGUUAGGUGAAAGAAGCAACUACACAAGCAUGCAUAUUUUAGGAGCUCAUUAAAAGUAAUACUUCACAGGUUAAUACAUUUACACAAAAAACUGGACCUGGUGACAAAUAGGUGGAUUGCAACCUUGGUAAGAUCAUGUUCAUUGCAAUCCUGGCGACAGAAGCCACAGUGCAGGGGGAAGUGAAGAAUUUUAACAGGAAAUGUAGAAAACUCUCUUUGGUAGUUUAACUUUGAAGGGAAAGAGAUGGAGAUUCUGGCUGAAUGGGGAGAUUUUAAAAAAUAAUCAAUUUCUUGAAACUUGAGAAGGUUUUAAAAUGAAGAUACUUAGGGGUUUUGCUAAAUGAGAAGAUUUUAGCUGUUCUUGCCAUGCACAAAAAAAUGGGUAACUAUGUGGUAUUAUGAAUAUAUUUAUUUUCUUCACUAUAUAGUAACUAAUACUUUACUUUCUGUAUGUAUCUUAGAACAUCAUAUUGCAUAUCUUAAAUAUAGACAAUAAAUGUAUUUUUAAAAGUUAACGUGAUGAAGCUAUCUUAUCUCAGAUUUAACACUAGAAAUUGCUCAUUUUUUUUUUUUGGCUGGAGUACAGUGUUGCGAUCAUGGCUCACUGCAGCUUCAACCUCCUGGGGCUCCUGUGAUCCUCCCAGCUCAGCUUCCCGAGUAGCUGGGACCACAGGUGCAUAUCAACACACCCAGUUAAUUUUUUUUGUUUGUUUAUUUUUGUAGAGACGGGAGUCUCUUUAGGUUGCCCAGGCUGGUCUCGGACUCCUGGGCCCAAGUGAUCCUCCCACCUCGACCUCUUAAUGUGCUGGGAUUAUAGGUGUGAGCCACUUCACCCAGCACAUUUUCUUUCUUACGCUCUUAUUUUCACUUUAGAGCUCAUGAGAGGCCUCUAAUCGACUAGUAUGAGUUUUGAGCUAAAUAUGUAUUUAGUUAUUAGUGAGAAAAUGGACAAUGGGCAAUUGUGAGUCAAAUAAAUGCUAAAUUUUUGCCUCUCCAAGAAGGCAGCAGGUGGCUGAAAUCCUGGUGUGAUAUGGCUGAAUAAUGCAUGAUCUGAGGACCCUGUACUGGUUACUCCUGUACACGUUCACAAUUUUUCUGUAAAUGUAUUAAUAUACUGAGCAGUCCAGGAGCAGCCAUUAGGCAAACACCACUCCUUGCUUCCUUCAUGUGACCUAUCACUGAGCUCACCAGCUGAGGUCAAUUACAUUCUUCCCAACCUGGAGAACAGAAUUUGGGUCUGCUCAGAGGCAUGAUGUGAAACAUGUCUGGGAUAAAAGCUUUGUUCUAUUGACAGCAAACCUUUUUGUGUUAAGGGGUAGGGGAAGAGCAAGUGAAGGAUGCAGAUUAAUUUCUAUUUAGGAAUAUACUUUUAUAUAUUGUUUGAAAUUUUGUCUUUUAAAAAUAUUCAUACAAAUUUAAACAAAAAAUUACUUGUGAACAGAUUGACAAAUGUCAUGUGCACACAUAUUUAUUAAUUUGAAAAAGCAUUCACUGUGUUAAAUUUAUGGUGAAAUAAAGUUGAUUAAACUUUGAAA
This 4881-nucleotide long non-coding RNA is filed under the name Homo sapiens (human). Its description in RNAcentral is "long independently transcribed non-coding RNA 630, transcript variant 3 (LINC00630)". Lineage: Eukaryota; Metazoa; Chordata; Mammalia; Primates; Hominidae. The record is from RNAcentral.